GGCCGGUUAGCUCUCAUGGUUAGAGCGUGGUGCUGAUAACACCAAGGUCACGGGUUCAGAUCCCGUACCGGCCA
Non-coding RNA from Galeopterus variegatus (Sunda flying lemur), 74 nucleotides. The record is from the annotation of a RefSeq genome assembly. NCBI's taxonomy places the organism in Eukaryota, Metazoa, Chordata, Mammalia, Dermoptera, Cynocephalidae.